Acinonyx jubatus (cheetah) is the source of this 2193-nucleotide RNA transcript. It is a transcript of the gene named reprimo like, with no coding region annotated. Lineage: Eukaryota; Metazoa; Chordata; Mammalia; Carnivora; Felidae. The record is from RefSeq and is a predicted model, not a curated record. The transcript has 3 exons.
GGCGGCGGGGCCGGCGAGCCGCGCAGCAGGCAACUGCGACCCGCGCUCGGCUCUCCGGCUCCAGCUCCCGCGCAGCCUGUUGCUCGUUCCUCCGGGCCGCCGCUUCCCGCCCGGUGCCCAGGGCCAGGCGGCCCGAGGGGUGCCGGCGCGCGAGCGGCCUCCCGCCUUCCCCUCUCCCCGCCCGCGGCUGGACCCCAGCAUCUCCGGGAGCGCGGGCGCCGGCCAGCCUCCCCGCGCGCCCCGGCCGGCGCGCCGAGACCCCGGGUGCCGAGCCGCGAUGAACGCGACCUUCCUGAACCACAGCGGCCUGGAGGCGGCGGGCGGCUUGGGCGGCGGCGGCGGGGCCACCCUGGGGAACCGCAGCCACGGGCUGGGCACGUGGCUGGGCUGCUGCCCCGGGGGCGCGCCGCUGGCCGCCACCGACGGGGUCCCCGCGGGGCUGGCGCCCGACGAGCGCAGCCUGUGGGUGUCGCGCGUGGCGCAGAUCGCUGUGCUCUGCGUGCUGUCGCUCACCGUGGUCUUCGGCGUGUUCUUCCUGGGCUGCAACCUGCUCAUCAAGUCGGAGAGUAUGAUCAACUUUCUGGUGGAGGAGCGCCGGCCCUCCAAGGACGUGGGCGCCGCCAUCCUGGGGCUGUACUGAGGCCGCCUCGGCCCGUCCCCGCCAGCCCGGCCGCAAGCGGACGAGAAGGGAGACCGGGACCCUCGUGCCCCUCCCGGGCUCUGCCGCCGCCGCCGCCCGGCGGGCCGCGCGAGGAACAGCGACGGGCCUCGGGGCGCCCCGGCCCGGGGACACCGUGAGACUCGAGGCGGUGGCGCGGGAAGGGACUUCCACACCCGGCUCGGUCCAGUGUGCGCCUCAGCAUGGCGGGGUGGGAGAGGUCGUGGGAGACUGCGUGGGGCUGAGGUCACGUGCGGGGGAGUUUUGUGCGUACGUAGACGCGUCCGUGUGCGGGUGAGUUGCGGGGUGGGGCAAGGUGAUGAAUCCGAAUCCCUGAGAUCGUGGGCCGGAUUUUGCAUUUGAAAAGAACCGUGGUAAUAAACCUGCUGCCGUCGGGCUUCCGGCGGCUUCCCGUUCGCAACUCUUCACGGAGUGUGUGUGUAAGUGUAAGGUCACGAGGGAUAUGUGGGAUGUCCAGAUCCCUGAACUCCAGAGGCCAGGCAAGCAUCUAGGCCUCUGGCAUGACCACUGGGGAAGUGCCCUGAGGAAGCACCUGCUUACUCUUGCCGCCAUAUGCCUCCAAACUCAGAGGAAUCUGUAACUCCAGUGCAUAGAAAUGGAGAGUUUAAUCCAUGGGGAACACUCUGGAAUGCUGAGGAAAAAAAAAUAACCAAGAGUCAGGAAACCAGCUCCUAUAAGACGAUUGUCUGGCUUUACAUGUGUCCUACCAUCUUGGAGGAGUCAAAGACCACAUCACUGGGGACUGGUACCCCUGGAGCUAUCCACACCUAGGCUGGCCCAGCCAGGCAGACCAAUGGACAGCUUCUGACACAGAGACACCCUCAGACACCAGAGCCUUGAAUCUUCCUUUGCACCUAAAAGGGCGCUGUAUUCCACAAACCAGAUUACAACGAUGCCUUCGACUUCCCCACUUGGCCAUGUAAUGUGAUGGUUGGGAAUGUCGAGUCCACAUCAAGAAGGGCCCUGGAUUCAAGCCCUGCUUCUGCUCAUUCUUAGUCGUAAGACAUUCUUUCCAAACUUCAGUUUCUUCAUUUGUAAAAUGGGAGUUAAUGACACAUAUCUCUAAGUAUUUGUUGAACGGAUUAAAUAACAUCAUUUAUGAAAAUGAUUAAUAAACACGAUGUCUGGCACACCUCAGAAGUGAUUGUUUUGGUUAUCUAUCUAUAACUAGCUCCAAAAAUUUGAGCUUUGAAACAAUAACCACUUUAUUAUGUCUUCACGGUUCUGUGGGUUGACUGGGAGACUGUCGGCCAGCUGGGCAGAUCUUCUGUCAGCAAGAACUGCAGCCAUCUAGAGGUCGUCUGUCUAGUGCCCAGCUUUUGUCCCCAAAGCUCAGAAGCACAGUUGCCAAGCCUUCAUAAGGCUUAGGCUCAGAAUUGGGGUAUUUUCUUCUCUGCCACAUCCUAUUUAUUAAUAUGACUCACAGAGCCAGUCCAGAUGCAUUGUGGGAGGACAGACUAUGCAAGGCCAUGAAUACUGGAGGCAUGGUUCACUGGCAGGUGUCUUUGGAAACC